Molecule: ribosomal RNA, 375 nt
Filed under: uncultured bacterium
Lineage: Bacteria
Description: bacterial SSU rRNA
Rfam family: Bacterial small subunit ribosomal RNA
Source: RNAcentral
UAAUACGUAGGCAGCGAGCGUUGUUCGGAGUUACUGGGCGUAAAGCGUGCGUAGGCGGUGGCCCAAGUCUGGUGUGAAAUCUCCCGGCUCAACCGGGAGGGUGCGCCGGAAACUGGGUCGCUCGAGUACUGGAGAGGCAAGCGGAAUUCCUGGUGUAGCGGUGAAAUGCGUAGAUAUCAGGAGGAACACCCGUGGUGUAGACGGCUUGCUGGACAGUCACUGACGCUGAGGCACGAAAGCGUGGGGAGCAAACAGGAUUAGAUACCCUGGUAGUCCACGCCCUAAACGAUGCAUACUUGGUGUGGGCAGUUCAGUCUGUCCGUGCCGAAGCUAACGCGAUAAGUAUGCCGCCUGGGGAGUACGGUCGCAAGGCUG